AUUGAACGCUGGCGGCAGGCCUGACACAUGCAAGUCGAACGGUAACAGGAAGAAGCUUGCUUCUUUGCUGACGAGUGGCGGACGGGUGAGUAAUGUCUGGGAAACUGCCUGAUGGAGGGGGAUAACUACUGGAAACGGUAGCUAAUACCGCAUAACGUCGCAAGACCAAAGAGGGGGACCUUCGGGCCUCUUGCCAUCGGAUGUGCCCAGAUGGGAUUAGCUAGUAGGUGGGGUAACGGCUCACCUAGGCGACGAUCCCUAGCUGGUCUGAGAGGAUGACCAGCCACACUGGAACUGAGACACGGUCCAGACUCCUACGGGAGGCAGCAGUGGGGAAUAUUGCACAAUGGGCGCAAGCCUGAUGCAGCCAUGCCGCGUGUAUGAAGAAGGCCUUCGGGUUGUAAAGUACUUUCAGCGGGGAGGAAGGGAGUAAAGUUAAUACCUUUGCUCAUUGACGUUACCCGCAGAAGAAGCACCGGCUAACUCCGUG
This 490-nucleotide ribosomal RNA is filed under the name uncultured bacterium. RNAcentral describes it as "partial 16S ribosomal RNA". It matches the Rfam family "Bacterial small subunit ribosomal RNA", at positions 30 to 507 of the family's 1533-position model. The record is from RNAcentral.